Molecule: long non-coding RNA, 3895 nt
Organism: Rattus norvegicus (Norway rat)
Lineage: Eukaryota; Metazoa; Chordata; Mammalia; Rodentia; Muridae
Gene: Bloc1s6
Product: biogenesis of lysosomal organelles complex 1 subunit 6
Source: Ensembl
CGUCACUUCCGUGUGCCAAGGCGGCUUUCGUCCGACUAGACGCUCGAACUUGUUAGGUUCCUACGUCUUGCCUUUGGCUUCUCCACACCACUCGCCCAACGCAGCGCCCAGUGCAGGGACAUGAAUGUUCCUGUGCCACCGCCCCCGGACGGGGUCCUUACGGGGCCCUCCGACAGCCUGGAGGCCGGCGAGCCUACGCCGGGCUUAAGCGACAGGUCUCCAGAUGAAGGACUGAUAGAGGAUUUGGCUUUGGAGGACAGAGCUGUAGAGCACCUGGUGGGAGGCCUGCUGUCCCACUACCUACCAGAUCUGCAGAGGUCCAAGCGAGCACUCCAGGAACUCACAACCAAGUUGUGUUACUAGAUACACUGGAACAAGAGAUUUCAAAAUUUAAAGAAUGCCACUCCAUGCUGGACAUCAAUGCUUUGUUCACGGAAGCGAAGCACUAUCACGCCAAGCUGGUGACCAUAAGGAAAGAGAUGUUGCUGCUCCACGAGAAAACAUCCAAGCUGAAAAAAAGAGCACUGAAGCUGCAGCAGCAGAGGCAGAAAGAGGAGCUGGAGAGAGAGCAGCAGCGAGAGAGGGAGUUUGAAAGAGAGAAGCAGCUGACAGCCAAGCCAGCCAAGAGGACGUGAGGAGCCUGCUUUCCAGUUCCUGUCCCAUCCUGCUUUCUGGAUGUCCAGUGCUGCAUACAGAGAGCGAGGCGUGGAUGGUGCCUUACGCCCUGGCAUGCCUUGAGUCUUUCCCAGGGUUGUAUGUGUCCAAGACUUCACUCAAGAAGCCUUGUUGAUACUUAUGUUUUCAACUCUUGCUUAACUUUAAAAUUUAUUAUUUUGAUCUUAAAUCACUUGUAAACUGAAAACACUGGUUAUUGUAAGAGUCUGGAUACAGUUCAAAAUGAGGCGAAGGUCUGACCGUCUUAAGAGUCAGUUUUAGUUUCAGUUUCUCCUUUUCUGAGGACAGGCCUUCCCUGCACAGCCACACUGAUUUCUGGCAACUCCUUUUUAUUGUUUAAAGAGAAACUCCAAUUGUUUGACCGUAAUUCUCCCAGAAAGAGAGCUGCCAAGCUUUUAUGAAGAACUUGUGAAGUGUAUGUCACUGGUGAGGCCAGCACCUGAGACGUAGGCUGGGAGUAGAUACAGACAGACUCUCCAGCCGUUCUCCUCUGUUUUCCAGUCUUGCUGCUGAUAGAGAUUUUGGGUUUAGGGCAGGAUUCUAUUCAUUCCUCAAGCUGUGCAGCAAUGGUGGGCCUGCCAGAUACUCAAAGGUGUGUCUGUGUCUGUCUGUGUGUCUGUGUCUGUCUGUGUGUGUGUGUUUGCAUGUGCAUGCUAAGUCAUCACUGUGUAACAAUGUCUCUGUGUUUUUUCUUUUCCUCUCUCCUUUUUUUUUCUCCUAGAGACAGGCUCUCUAUAAAGCCCUGGCUGUCCUGGUACUCACUGUGGAGACCAGGCUGGCCUCAAACAAUCCACUUGCCUCUUUCCCCAGUGCUGGGAUUAAAGGUGUGCACUGCCACACCUUGUUUGAAGUAGAACAGAGUCUGCUACUGCUCACAGCAUAUGUAAAGAACACAGAAGAGGCCCGAUUGAUGCCUUUGCUGUUUUCUAGACCUUUCCCUCUCCUGUGUAGGAACUUACUCUGUAGGCAAGAUGAAGUCUCCUUGUUGGAAAUCAAGAGUGCAGUAGUUUACUCCCCAUUUUAGUGUUUAAUAGGAAGCUCGUUUCUAGCCCCUACUUUGAGUGAGCAGCACCAAGCUACAAAGGUGUCUGAUUAGAAUGAGCAUCUUUUAUAACCCAUGGUACACUUUUAGUAGGCUGGAAUUACUACCUCUGAUCACAUACUGGGCGAUGUGGAGAUCAUUAAAGAUGACCAGUGCUAAGAACUCGUCAGCUUAAAGGCUGUUUCUUUGAAGGAGCCCUUUCCUUUUUAAUGAAUGAAUUGUGAUCUCACAGUCAUUGACUUGACUUCUGUUCAAGAAUACAAAUGAGGUUAUUUGAACGGCUGUUACCCUUUGUCACUUACUGUCACUUCUAGAGCAAAAGUCAUUAGGACUUGCAGGACAAUGCCAUUACAUUACAGAAUGUACUUAUUACAAUAAAAUAUCUGAUAUCUGGCAAAGGCUGGAGAUGGCUUUUCAUGCUGACUUCACACCAACGGUGUUAGUCAUUUCAAGUGUUCCCGGACACUUCUGGACACUUCCUCAGUCUCUUAAAGUGAAUCUGUUCUUUGUUUUGCUUAGAGUUUCUGCCCGUGAUUCUGGUGUACCUUAAAGGAUGAGACACGUCUGGGUCUGGUUGCCACUGGCGGGGUUUUCCACACUAAGUCAAAUGUCCUUUUCACCUGGGAACUUAAAGUGUAGAAUCCUCAGUUCUUACCCACUAGUUCUGAUGCCAUAGAAGAUUUAGCGUGCUCUACAUUAUUCUGAUGCAAGGGACGGUGGUAUAGACUGUCCAGGGAUUUACAUUCAUAAGCAAUGGAAUAGUUUGAAAGCUACCUAGUAAUUUGUGGAGUUAAUCUUAAGAAAUAAAUUAUUCACUACUGCUUUGGAUAGAAUCAGAUUUAAAACUGAACCUUAGCUGGCAGGAAAUGAAGAGUCUUAGUUAAUUGGACUUUUUGACUUGUAUCAAAAUAAAUCAUGUUUAAUGAAUGGAUGGGUGGCAAUGUGGCACAUAUGUUUUGAGAAUUAUAUUAAGUUCUAAAGACUUUUUAACAUAUCAAAAAGAUGGACUGGAGAGAUGGCUCAGCAGUUAAGAGCAAUGACUACUCUUUCAGAGGACCAGAGUUCUAUUCCUAGCUCCCACACAGCUCACAACCAUCUGUACCUCCAGUUCCAGAGGAUCGAGUCCCCUCAUCUGGCCUCUGCUAGCAUCAGACACAUAUGUGGUGCACCUACUCACACACAGACAAAACACUCACCCACAUAAUAGAGAAAUAAAUCUACAAAAAGAAAUAUACAUCAUUACCCACACUUUAAGGUCAGAAGUCAAUCAGAAACACCAUGGGCGAUGAAACCCUAAAAUUUUAGUUGUAUUUCAGUACCAUGGAAACACAAUAACUAGACAUACCUUUAUAACAGCCUUGCUGUGUUUUUCAACAAAUAGAAAUUGGCCGAAAGAAAAGUUGCCUUUGUUUUGAUAUAAUAUCAGAUAUGUAUGGUGCUGACACAUGGGGCGUUCAUUUUGAACUGACUUCGUCAUGAGUACCAUGUAAAUGUGCAGACGUUGAAUGUAGUGGAGAUGUGUCCACAGUGAAUUUUGGUGUAGAUUCAGUUCACCAGUACCAGUUGUAUGCCCAAACACCUUUGUCUGAUUUUGAUCUUACAAAUGAAAACUACUUUUUAUGAACUUAAUAAAAACAGCAGAUUCACCCAGUAUUGUUUAUCAGUCACCAUUCUGUACACAGCAGCGUAUAUUCCUCUUUCUGUUCAUUACUUCAGACAUUUGUUUUGCUACCUCUCCUGUUUUGUUGCUCUUUUUAAAGAUUUAUUUAUUUUAUGUAUACGAGUACACUGUAGCUGUCUUCAGACACACCAGAAGAGGGCUCAUUACAGAUGGUUGUGAGCCACCAUGUGGUUGCUGGGAAUUGAACUCAGGACCUCUGGAAGAACAGUCAGUGCUCUUAACCACUGAGCCAUCUCUCCAGUCCUGUUUUGUUGCUCUUAAUGUCCUCCAUGUAUUGAAUGUUCUUUUUUUUUUUUCCUUUUUUCUUUUUUUCGGAGCUGGGGACUGAACCCUGGGCCUUGCGCUUGCUAGGCAAGCGCUCUACCACUGAGCUAAAUCCCCAACCGUGUAUUGAAUGUUCUUUAUAUUUCAUCCCCCCACCCCCCAAAAAAAAGGCCAGGCCAGGGGCUGGAGAGUUCUCUUAACUGCCUGUGCAAAGGACCCACAUUUGGUUCCCA